AACGCACCUUGCGCUCCUUGGUAUUCCGAGGAGCAUGCCUGUUUGAGUGUCAUUAAAUUCUCAACUUCAUCAACUUUGUUGUUGAGGCUUGGAUGUGGGGGUUUUGCAGGUCUGCCUUAAUUGUGCGGUCUGCUCCCCUGAAAUGUAUUAGCGGGUUGGCUUCCCUCUAUCAGUGUGAUAAUUAUCUACGCUGUGGAUGGGUUUGGCUUUCAGACCGGCUUCUAAUCGUCCUUUCAAAGGACAAUCUAUUGACAUUUUUGACCUCAAAUCAGGUAGGACUACCCGCUGAACUUAA
Molecule: unclassified non-coding RNA, 295 nt
Filed under: Lacrymaria sp. (in: basidiomycete fungi)
Lineage: Eukaryota; Fungi; Basidiomycota; Agaricomycetes; Agaricales; Psathyrellaceae
Also listed under: 2 other names
Description: partial contains 5.8S ribosomal RNA, internal transcribed spacer 2, and large subunit ribosomal RNA
Rfam family: 5.8S ribosomal RNA (bases 1-52)
Source: RNAcentral